Molecule: unclassified non-coding RNA, 421 nt
Filed under: Psychotria antakaranensis
Lineage: Eukaryota; Viridiplantae; Streptophyta; Magnoliopsida; Gentianales; Rubiaceae
Description: partial external transcribed spacer
Source: RNAcentral
UGCAGGAUCAACCAGGUAGCAUUCCUCAGGGACAUCGAGCCGCAAGACGUAAAACAUCUACGCGGCGUCGAACGUCAAUCGAUUGGGGCGUGUAAUGCCAAUUUGUGGGCAAAUAGAGAGGUCGAAGACCCCUUACCCGUAGUGUUUUCCGCAUCCCCGAAGUCAAGCUACGGUCGUGGCCCGCGAAUGCAUAGCGUUUUGUAUGCAAAUCGAAACACGAAUUUCGCUUCGAGGUUCACCCGAAGCCGCACCGCGUAAACGGGCAGCGAUAGGAGAACUUGGUAAGGAUUGGCCCCGGAAUUCCAUCGACGUAGGUAUGCAGCACAGGAAACCAAAAACUCGGCCAAGGCAUACGAAGCUCUUGUGCCGACAACUGAAGAGGAGAGCACGAAAGGACGUCGCUACCAGAAGAGGGAUCCAA